GACGAACGCUGGCGGCGUGCCUAACACAUGCAAGUCGAGCGGGGUUGAAGCGAGAGGUAACUCGAACUUCUACCUAGCGGCGGACGGGUGAGUAACGCGUGGGCAACCUGCCUCAAGGUUUGGGAUAACAGCCCGAAAGGGCUGCUAAUACCGGAUAUGCCUAUGGCCUCGCAUGGGGCUAUGAGCAAAGGGGAAACCCGCCUUGAGAUGGGCCCGCGUCCCAUCAGCUAGUUGGUGAGGUAACAGCUCACCAAGGCGACGACGGGUAGCCGGCCUGAGAGGGUGACCGGCCACACUGGGACUGAGACACGGCCCAGACUCCUACGGGGGGCAGCAGUGGGGGAUCUUGCACAAUGGGCGAAAGCCUGAUGCAGCGACGCCGCGUGAGCGAAGAAGGCCUUCGGGUUGUAAAGCUCUGUCUGGAGGGACGAACAAAAUGACGGUACCUCCGGAGGAAGCCACGGCUAACUACGUG
RNAcentral lists this ribosomal RNA (475 nucleotides) under uncultured bacterium. RNAcentral's name for it is "bacterial SSU rRNA". It matches the Rfam family "Bacterial small subunit ribosomal RNA", at positions 28 to 507 of the family's 1533-position model. RNAcentral also lists the same sequence under 1 other name. The record is from RNAcentral.